Molecule: ribosomal RNA, 461 nt
Filed under: uncultured bacterium
Lineage: Bacteria
Description: partial 16S ribosomal RNA
Rfam family: Bacterial small subunit ribosomal RNA
Source: RNAcentral
CCUACGGGGAGCAGCAGUGAGGAAUAUUGGUCAAUGGCCGGAAGGCUGAACCAGCCAAGUCGCGUGAGGGACGACUGCCCUAUGGGUUGUACACCUCUUUUAUCAGGGAAGAAUCAAUGCUACGUUUAGCCUGAUACCUGUACCUUAUGAAUAAGCAUCGGCUAACUCCGUGCCAGCAGCCGCGGUAAUACGGAGGAUGCGAUCGUUAUCCGGAUUUAUUGGGUUUAAAGGGUGCGUAGGCUGUGAGGUAAGUCAGCGGUGAAAUUCCCCCGCUCAACGGGGUGAAGUGCCAUUGAUACUGCCUUGCUGGAAUGCGGAUGCCGUGCGAGGAAUGUGUGGUGUAGCGGUGAAAUGCAUAGAUAUCACACAGAACACCGAUUGCGAAGGCAUCUCACGAAUCCGCGAUUGACGCUGAUGCACGAAAGCGUGGGUAUCAAACAGGAUUAGAUACCCUAGUAGUC